CACGUGGAUAACCUGCCCUAAGGAAGGGGAUACCCCCGGGAAACUGGGGAUAAUACCCUAUAGGUUACAGAUGCUGGAAUGCUCUGUAACCGAAAGUUCCGGCGCCUUAGGAUGGAUCUGCGGCCGAUUAGGUUGUUGUCGGGGUAACGGCCCAACAAGCCAGUAAUCGGUACGGGUUGUGGGAGCAAGAGCCCGGAGUUGGAUUCUGAGACACGAAUCCAGGCCCUACGGGGCGCAGCAGGCGCGAAAACUUUACAAUGCGGGCAACCGUGAUAAGGGAACCUCGAGUGCCUGUAUAUGCAGGCUGUCUGGGUGUCUAAAACACACCUAAAGAAAGGGCCGGGCAAGACCGGUGCCAGCCGCCGCGGUAAUACCGGCGGCUCGAGUGGUGGCCACUUUUAUUGGGCUUAAAGCGUUCGUAGCUGGGUUAUUAAGUCCCUUGGGAAAUCCGACGGCUUAACCGUCGGGCGUCUAAGGGAUACUGGCAAUCUUGGAACCGGGAGAGGUGAGGGGUACUUCGG
RNAcentral lists this ribosomal RNA (521 nucleotides) under uncultured archaeon. RNAcentral's name for it is "bacterial SSU rRNA". It matches the Rfam family "Archaeal small subunit ribosomal RNA", at positions 97 to 623 of the family's 1478-position model. The record is from RNAcentral.